UACGGGGGAGCAAGCGUUGUUCGGAUUUACUGGGCGUAAAGGGCGGGUAGGCGGCCACUGCAAGUCGGUUGUGAAAUCUCCGGGCUUAACUCGGAAAGGUCAAUCGAUACUGCAGGCUAGAGUGCAGAAGGGGCAACUGGAAUUCUCGGUGUAGCGGUGAAAUGCGUAGAUAAUCGGGAGGAAUACCGGUGGCGAAGGCGGCAUCCUGGACCAUAA
RNAcentral lists this ribosomal RNA (216 nucleotides) under uncultured bacterium. RNAcentral's name for it is "partial 16S ribosomal RNA". It matches the Rfam family "Bacterial small subunit ribosomal RNA", at positions 524 to 739 of the family's 1533-position model. The record is from RNAcentral.